GUCAUCACGCUCUGGCUGACUCUGCUAGAGUGCAAGGAACAAAGACUCAAAUAUAAACUGAUACUAGCUCUAGGGGAUAACACCAGUGCUGUUGAAUGGUUGACCAGGACAGGUGACCUGCCACCUAGUUUGAUCUACUUUGAUGCAGCAAACUUUAUCGCCUGAAAACUGGCUAGCCUCAUGAUUGAAUCCAGAAACUUUCUUGCCUCUCAGCACUUGCAAGGAAAGAAGAACCAAGUAGCAGAUUGACUGACAUUCAAAGGAGAUACAGGGUCAGUGGAAAUUAACGGUGGCGCAGAAAUGCAUCCACCCUGUAAUGUCCAACUGACUAACCAUUUCCUUUGUUGUUGUCCACAGCUACUUCCACCUGCUUUCAAAAUCUCUCAGCUGCUGGUAGAGAUCUUCUUAUCUGCGCAGCAGAGCAGAAAAAUGCUCAAAUUGUCUAUGAUGCGCAUACAGAAGGAGCAGUCGAGACAGUCUCCCAAGUUACAAGGAGAUGACAGAGUUUCUGUAAAAGAGACCUUGCCGGUCUUGAUCCAUCCCUUUUUGGAGUUUCAGCAGUUGCAGCCGGCUUGUCUCUCAGAGCCUUUUUUGAGGUAUAUCAACACGCUGACUUUGAACCAGGAGGAAAUAUUUCUGGAGGACGUAAGGCCCCAAUGGCAGGAAAGACAGUCAGAAGUGCCAAAGGAGCACUGGCGGCGUCGAUCCGGUGUAGUAUUGAGAGGUCGCCCUUGCACCGUUGUUGCGGAGACUAAGAAUAGGGGGAGAAGCUCCUGUCCAAUCUAAACAAACUGUUUUCGGGUAUGGAGGCCAAUUCCCUUAAUGUUAUAAGACAGAAGGCAAUCACACCUAAACUCUUACAACAAAUUAUUUACCCAACAAGCAGUGCAAUACUCAAUGAGUUCAAGGACCAUGCCACCAACCUGAUAGUAAGAGCUUUAUUCCUUGUCAUGGGAGCCUGUGAUUACGUCAAAACCCCUGUUCCAGGAAAGACCAGUAGGGUUCGUCUAGGUUGCAUCCAUUUCCUAUCCAGAAAACGAAACCGCAUCAGACACGAUGACCCCAAUCUACUAACCAGAACCAAAUUUGUCACAGUUGUAUUUGAGGACCAAAAGAAUGGAGAAAGAUUCAAGGUAAGGACCCAGGAGAGAACCAAGUACCGGUUCCUUUGCCCUGUCAUUCGUUCUGGCCAAGCCGUCCAGAGAAUCCUCAAGUACAUUCCUAACGCUGAUGAAUCUACUCCCUUAUGCGCUAUGAACAGCCGGAAAAUUAAGACCAAUUUUAUUACCAGUACCUUCACCCUCAAUCUGAUCAGGGAGACAUGUGGCAACUUUGGAGGGGAAGCAGUCUUUGGUUUUGGGCCUAUGGACAUAUGAAACAAAAGCCUUCAAUCAGGAGCAGUGAUGUUGCUCUUCCUUAUGAAGCACUCAUCAGAUAGGAUAAUGAUCCUAGGAAGAUGGAAAUCAAUAGCCUUCUUAGAUUACAUCAGACUCCAAGUCAUUGAGUGGACAAGUUGCGUAUCAGGAGACAUGAUAUCCUUUGACAACUUCACUGACCUUCUAGACAAAAGAAUCACAGAGCUUACCAAAUCCACCCAAGAAACACAAUGGGAUGGGAUCCCCCAGAUGCAUAAGAAACCACUUCAACAAGAUGCCUGUCUUCAACUUAGGCAACUUCUAGAAUCAGGAAACUGGCUGAUAAUGACAUUCAAACCCAAACUUAUUGUUUGUUAUUAAGGGAUCAAAGUGGAGGCUCCAGAUUUUUAAUCCAGAGCAUUUAGCAACCCAAGUUUACAAAAUCACUAUUUUCAACUUCUACUUCUACUUAUUUAUGGUUGGAGUUAUCAAGUAUAAUAACACUUGGGCUGGCCUUGGGUAAACACACAAGACAGAUAGCUCUCAAUGACAUCUUUGUUACCACUUGCAUAGCGGUGCCUGCCAAAGCUACGGAAUGUAGUUGAUUCACCAACCACAAUGACAGAAAAGUUGUUGGAGACAAACAUAAUGUUCUAAUACACUAAAUAGACGCUAUUGCACCCAACUUAACUGGUGUUGUCCUCUGCAAUACUUUCAAAUGAGAUAUUUUGUUCCUUAUUUCUGAGCAAAAUUCAUGUUGUUUGUGUGCCUUCUACAGCAGCAAAAUGAAUUACAUUCAGCAUCCACAGGUACAGAAAAGUUGUUGGACACAUCUGUUAAAGAAUAACACAGGUGUCCUAAGGUCAGCUCAAUGAGAACAGAAAUCUCAUGUAGAACAAAAGGGUAAAAGCUGACUUGAUUUUGAUUUUCAGUACGAAUACAAACCGAGAAAUCGUGGCCUAUCGAUCCUUUCAGUUUUUAGAAUUUGAAGUGAGAGGUGUCAGAAAAGUUACCACAGGGAUAACUGGCUUGUGGCAGCCAAGCGUUCAUAGCGACGUUGCUUUUUGAUUCUUCGAUGUCGGCUCUUCCUAUCAUUGUGUCGCAGAAGUCACCAAGUGUAGGAUUGUUCACCCACUAACAGGGAACGUGAGCUGGGUUUAGACCGUCGUGAGACAGGUUAGUUUUACCCUACUGAUGAGUUGGUUGUCGCGACAGUAAUCCAACUUAGUACGAGAGGAACCGUUGGUUCGGAUAUUUGGUAAUGGGGUUGGCUGAACAGCCAAUGCCCCGAAGCUAUCAUCCGUAGGAUUAUGACUGAACGCCUCUAAGUCAGAAUCCAUGCUGGCAGCGACGAUAUUCACCUUGACCGGUGUUUUUGUACCGAUAGCCUUUAUGGUCAACACGCUACUUCACCACACUACCAAAUGUUGGUCGAGUUAAAUCCUCUGUAGACGACUUGAAUGGAACGGGGUACUGUAAGCAUGAGAGUAGCCCUUGUGCUACGAUCUGCUGAGGUUCAGCCUCUGUUCCGGGAUUUGUGCG
RNAcentral lists this ribosomal RNA (2897 nucleotides) under Fragilariopsis cylindrus CCMP1102. Its description in RNAcentral is "eukaryotic LSU rRNA". The stretch from base 2091 to 2892 matches the Rfam family "Eukaryotic large subunit ribosomal RNA", at positions 2391 to 3399 of the family's 3401-position model. The record is from RNAcentral. Lineage: Eukaryota; Bacillariophyta; Bacillariophyceae; Bacillariales; Bacillariaceae.